This 484-nucleotide ribosomal RNA is filed under the name uncultured bacterium. RNAcentral describes it as "partial 16S ribosomal RNA". It matches the Rfam family "Bacterial small subunit ribosomal RNA", at positions 30 to 507 of the family's 1533-position model. The record is from RNAcentral.
AUUGAACGCUGGCGGCAGGCCUAACACAUGCAAGUCGAGCGGAUGAAGGGAGCUUGCUCCUGGAUUCAGCGGCGGACGGGUGAGUAAUGCCUAGGAAUCUGCCUGGUAGUGGGGGAUAACGUCCGGAAACGGGCGCUAAUACCGCAUACGUCCUGAGGGAGAAAGUGGGGGAUCUUCGGACCUCACGCUAUCAGAUGAGCCUAGGUCGGAUUAGCUAGUUGGUGGGGUAAAGGCCUACCAAGGCGACGAUCCGUAACUGGUCUGAGAGGAUGAUCAGUCACACUGGAACUGAGACACGGUCCAGACUCCUACGGGAGGCAGCAGUGGGGAAUAUUGGACGAUGGGCGAAAGCCUUAUCCAGCCAUGUCGCGUGUGUGAAGAAGGUCUUCGGAUUGUAAAGCACUUUAAGUUGGGAGGAAGGGCAGUAAGUUAAUACCUUGCUGUUUUGACGUUACCAACAGAAUAAGCACCGGCUAACUUCGUG